Molecule: ribosomal RNA, 405 nt
Filed under: uncultured bacterium
Lineage: Bacteria
Description: bacterial SSU rRNA
Rfam family: Bacterial small subunit ribosomal RNA
Source: RNAcentral
UGGGGAAUAUUGCACAAUGGGGGAAACCCUGAUGCAGCGACGCCGCGUGAGGGAAGAAGGUUUUCGGAUUGUAAACCUCUGUCUUCGGGGACGAAUGAUGACGGUACCCGAGGAGGAAGCCACGGCUAACUACGUGCCAGCAGCCGCGGUAAAACGUAGGUGGCAAGCGUUGUCCGGAAUUACUGGGUGUAAAGGGAGCGCAGGUGGCUCUGCAAGUCGAAUGUGAAAUCCACGGGCUCAACCCGUGAAUUGCGUUCGAUACUGUGGAGCUUGAGUGGAGUAGAGGCAGGCGGAAUUCCCGGUGUAGCGGUGGAAUGCGUAGAUAUCGGGAGGAACACCAGUGGCGAAGGCGGCCUGCUGGGCUCUAACUGACACUGAGGCUCGAAAGCGUGGGUAGCAAACAGG